RNAcentral lists this ribosomal RNA (769 nucleotides) under uncultured Rubrobacter sp. RNAcentral describes it as "bacterial SSU rRNA". It matches the Rfam family "Bacterial small subunit ribosomal RNA", at positions 8 to 796 of the family's 1533-position model. The record is from RNAcentral. Lineage: Bacteria; Bacillati; Actinomycetota; Rubrobacteria; Rubrobacterales; Rubrobacteraceae.
AGAGUUUGAUCAUGGCUCAGGAUGAACGCUGGCGGUAUGCUUAACACAUGCAAGUCGAACGAAUCCCUUCGGGGAUGAGUGGCGGACGGGUGAGUAACGCGUGAGAAUUUACCAAAAGGACUGGGACAACCACUGGAAACGGUGGCUAAUACCGGAUGAGCCGAAAAGUAAAAAGGGAAACCUGCCUUUUGAAGAGCUCGCGUCUGAUUAGCUAGUUGGUGAGGUAAGAGCUCACCAAGGCAGCGAUCAGUAGCUGGUCUGAGAGGAUGAUCAGCCACACUGGGACUGAGACACGGCCCAGACUCCUACGGGAGGCAGCAGCCAGGAAUCUUGGGCAAUGGGCGAAAGCCUGACCCAGCAACACCGUGUGGGCGAUGAAGGCCUUAGGGUCGUAAAGCCCUGUUGAUAGGGACGAAGGGCGAAGGGUUAAUAGCCCCUAGCUUGACGGUACCUUUCGAGGAAGCCCCGGCUAACUACGUGCCAGCAGCCGCGGUAAUACGUAGGGGGCGAGCGUUGUCCGGAAUUAUUGGGCGUAAAGAGCGUGUAGGCGGUUCGGUAAGUCUGCUGUGAAAUCCUGGGGCUCAACCCUGGGCGUGCAGCGGAUACUGCCGGGCUAGAGGGUGGUAGAGGCGAGUGGAAUUCCGAGUGUAGCGGUGAAAUUCGUAGAUAUUGGGAAGAACACCGGUGGCGAAGGCGGCGAGCUGGUCCAUUUCUGACGCUGAGGCGCGACAGCGUGGGGAGCAAACAGGAUUAGAUACCCCAGUAGUCC